Molecule: small nuclear RNA, 103 nt
Organism: Nycticebus coucang (slow loris)
Lineage: Eukaryota; Metazoa; Chordata; Mammalia; Primates; Lorisidae
Source: RefSeq, a predicted model, not a curated record
UUGCUCCGGCAGCCCAUAUACUAAAAUUGGAAUUAUACGGACAAGAUUAGCAUGGCCCCUGCAUAAGAAUGACAAGCAAAUUCAUGAAGCAUUCUAUAAUUAA